UGAUGUGACAAUGGUUCGAACAUAAAACCAAGCAAUGUUUACCAAAACAAAUUUCGAGAUACGGUCGGCAAUUCAACCAUAACAAUAAUUUACAAAUAAUAAUAAACGUCGGAAGCAAAAAAAACGGGAAUGGAAGUGACUAGGGUUUAAAAGUUUCAAAAGAAUGCAUUGCGCGUAAUUCAUCAAUCAGCGAGUUUAAAAUGCAAUCGUGGAAAAGUUCUAUAAAUGUGGUUUACAUACAAAGGAAGGAAUGAAGCCAGUUCUGUCAUGUACAAUUUGACAAAGAUGAAAUAGAGCCAUCGAACGCGAUGAUUUUACGAAUAGAAAUUCCUCAUCCAAACAAGCCGUGCCACAUAUAGUAAAACAAGACUUGGAAUAAGUGUGACGUGAACCAAAAACCAUCAU
This is a non-coding RNA of Schizosaccharomyces pombe (fission yeast), 405 nucleotides long. The record is from the annotation of a GenBank genome assembly. NCBI's taxonomy places the organism in Eukaryota, Fungi, Ascomycota, Schizosaccharomycetes, Schizosaccharomycetales, Schizosaccharomycetaceae.